AUGUUCUACUACACAGCAGGUGAUAAGGACUUCGGGACUGAGACUUGUGGGGCAGGGUGUGCAGAGCCCUGGGGGUCAGGAGGGCUGGGCCCCUCCUGUUGGAGCUGCAUGACCCCGAGAGACUCAGUCCCUCCGUCAGGCCUCAGGUCCAUUCUGCAAGCCCAGCUUUUAUUCAUGGAAGAGAAGCAGGCAGGCUUGCGUUUAUGGGCUGCUCACGGUGGUAUCCAGCACUUACAGCCCAGCAAAAAAAAAAAAAGGACCAGGAGGAAAUGCACUGAGAUGAGGGCAGUAACUUUCUCUGGUAGUUUGUUUCCUCUUCCAACUAUUUCGUGUUUUUUCUGGUUUUCUCAGGUUCUUUCAGUGACUUUACGUGUAUGUUGAAAGCUUUGUGAUGAACCCUGCGGGGCGACAGAGGCCCUGCUGCUGGGACACUCAGUCUGAUGGAGAAUUAGUCCUUCAUCAACAGACUGACCUGACGCAGCCUGAUCGGGGAGGCUGCCGGGACUCAGACCCAGGGUGUGAUGGAGCUGUCACAAAGGGAAGCCCAGAGGAGGCUCCUGGCUGUGCCUGGAGUGGACGCAGGGCAGUCAGAAGGGCUUCCUGGAGGAGGAGGGCAUCUUCCAGCAGGAGCUUAAAGAGCCUUGUGAAGUUGGAACCUUGCUGGGGGUGGUGGUGCAGGGCAGUUGCUAGGGAGGCAGGUGCACUGGGGCUGGGAGGGCUGUUUGGCUGGACCUGGACGAGGGUGAGCUGAGGAUGGUGAGAGACGCGGCAAGGGGCUGGACCAGAUCCUGAGUGAUAGGGGCAGGGGAGGGUGUGUGCCCCUGCUAGAGUCACAGUUGGCUGCCUCCCCUGGGGGUCCACCCGCCAGCCCCCCGCCCCGAGGGGAGGCAUGGUGUGCUAAGGAGCCCCCAUGACCCUUACCUCUACAGGGACCCUAGGGGGCUGGCCGGGCUGUGGCCCCACUUUACAGAAUGGGGAAAGUGAGGCCAAGCGCAGUAAGUGACCAAGCUUCAGAUCUAGGUCUGUUUGUCCCCAGAGCCCAGCUCGGAACGGCUGGCCUCUCUCCUGCAGCCCUUGCUCGUCACUGGGCUUCCGGUUUGUCAUCUGUAGGGUGGGGAUUAGAACGUGGUGUCUUGGACCAAGUGAUCGCCCUUCGUAGAGCUAAUUGUUAAGUCCAGCCCUUGACAUUCACUAGGUCCAGGAUUUCUGUUUCCUGUGGUUGGAGCAUCACCCAGGAUGGCGAGUUAGGGGGACAGAUGUAAGCAUGGGAGGCACCUUGGAGACAGGGCUCUCAAGAGAACCCACAGAAA
Molecule: long non-coding RNA, 1310 nt
Filed under: Capra hircus (goat)
Lineage: Eukaryota; Metazoa; Chordata; Mammalia; Artiodactyla; Bovidae
Description: lncRNA (ENSCHIG00010002235.1)
Source: RNAcentral